CCUACGGGUAGCAGCAGUGGGGAAUAUUGCGCAAUGUGCGAAAGCCUGACGCCGCGACGCCGCGUGAGGGAUGAAGGUCUUCGGAUCGUAAACCUCUAUCAGGAGGGAAGAAGGGGUUAUAUGCGAAUAGUGUAUGACUUUGACGGUACCUCCAAAGGAAGAACCGGCUAACUCCGUGCCAGCAGCCGCGGUAAUACGGAGGGUGCGAGCGUUAAGCGGAAUAACUGGGCGGCAAGCGAGCGUAGGCGGCUUUUCAAGUCAGGGGGGAAAUCCCACGGCCCAACCGUGGAACUGCCUUUGAAAGUGUAGAGCUUGAGUGUCGGACAGGGUGGCGGAAGUCCAGGUGUAGGAGUGAAAUCCGGAGAUAUCUGGAGGAACACCGGUGGCGAAGGCGGCCACCUGGACGACAACUGACGCUGAGGUGCGAAAGCGUGGGUAGCAAACGGGAUUAGAUACCCUUGUAGUC
RNAcentral lists this ribosomal RNA (466 nucleotides) under uncultured bacterium. RNAcentral's name for it is "partial 16S ribosomal RNA". It matches the Rfam family "Bacterial small subunit ribosomal RNA", at positions 338 to 795 of the family's 1533-position model. The record is from RNAcentral.